UUUGGCUCUUUGGUUUGAUAUUUGCUUCAAUAUCCAAUAUCAGCCAACCUUGACCUGGACAGUGAAGUCAUAGACUCUUAACAGUCAGCCGUGAUUUCAGAGAUCAUGUGGAUGAAACUCUGUUUAAUGGAAAACCUUUUUCAUGACGGUCCUGCCUUGACCGUCAGCCUCGGCGCGGAUGCAGUUGGGGACAAGGUGCUAACUCCCUCCAAAACUAUCUCAUUUUUCUUAUUUGAAUAAACCCCAUUUCCCUGUAACUUCCUCCUCACUCUUUGAUUCUCUGACAGCUUCGGGGUAUUUGAAGCCAACCUGGAUCGGCCCCAGCCUUUCUAACACCUCCUUUCUCUAGUUUAAACUAGAAGCUCUCUGCGUGUGUCAGCUGCUUGUGACAUAACAUGGGUUUGAGACCCCCUCUUUCCCAGUGUCCCCAGCGGAGGAGGUCUCUAGAACCAGGUUCACCCAGGGACAGCAGAGCAGAGCCUUCCCUCUAUGUCGAAGACCUCAAUUCUGCAGUAGGAACACCUGCCCUGACACCCUCCGAAAGAAUCAGGGUAGAAGGUAUGAAAGCAGAAGCCUGAAAGAAUUUCACCUUCCAACUCUGAGGACUAGGCCUCUGCCCACCCACCCCCAUUUCAUCUCGUCCUUAGGGGGAGCUGGCUGUACCUGGAGCUGGUGGGUCUGUGACCGAAGAUCCGCUUUGUACAACAGCAACAGGCCUCCCUCCCUCCUCUUGCUUGCCUGGCGCAGAAGCGCUCACUAUGCUUUAUUUCUCUAAAAUCUACAGUGGAAUCUUCAGGACUGGUGACACAGAGUGGUCUCCUGGAUAUUUCCUUACUGGGCACCUGCCCACUCUGCUUUUAUUUCCAGGGAAUAUAAUUCUUAGUUGAUCAUUAAAACAAGCAAGGCAGGUGGCUAUUAUCAUUAAUUACAGUUCACAUGGGAGGAAGCCUAGCAACUUCCCUAAGACAUGCAGCCAGUAAGUAGCAGAGAAAGGGCUUGAACCCAGGUCUUUGGACUUGACCCCCUUUUUCCCCUGUGGUCAAAACUGCAUUCCUGGAACUUAUGGCUGGUUAUGUUUCUGGGAAAGGCACUACAAGUUGAAAUGAUAAAGUCCCUGUCCUGCGCCUGCAGCUGGAAGGAAGAGUGACCUGGCGCUGUUAUUUUUAGAAGGUGGAGAGCUGAGUGAAGACUGCAGCCAGGGUCAGGGUCUGCUUCCCGUGAUGGGGGUGAUUUUUCCAUGGAGGUCCAGCAUUUCCUCUGGGCUCCCUCAUUGAGGAAUAUAACCCACUGCCCUCUAGAAAAGGUGAUCUGGCAGAAAGUGGCUUGCCACGUUGCCUGCUCGGUGUCCUGAUGAGUCAUCUUGUAACAGCCCUGCUAGAAGAGAGACGCAAGGCUUUCAGACAGAAGUUCACUCAGCCACGAUCUUCACAAUCCCUAUACUCUGUUGUAAAUACAAACAAAACCAAAACACAAGCCAACAAACAAAAAACUCCAAAAAAAAACCUUUGUCAUUUUUUAAAUUUUCCCCUUCAUCUCCUCUUUUAUAGAGUGCACCUGUCUGCCUAAUCUAUCUCAUGUAUGUACCAAUCCAUAUUCUAUCAUCUCUCUAUCUACGCCUGCAUGCAGCCGUCUAAACUUGAUAGGAAAUCAGGAAAGCACAGAUGUCUCUCACCCCCACAUUUUCAGUGGGAAAACUACUAUCUUGCUAGCUGUGAAAAUAUCACUCCAUUGACCUUUUGACAAACCUUUGUGCCUGAACCUAAUGACCCAAUUAUAUCCUAUUUUCUACAGCCCUGAUGGGAAAAGGACGUGGGUUCUGUAAAGAGAGAAAAAGAGGAUACAGCCAUGAAAUUGUUCAGCUCCACUCCAGCUUCUCAGUGGAGAUGAGACCAAACCAUUCCUGACAGAAGAGAAUCGAUUGUUUUCUUCUCCAGCUAUCUCAGAAAACUGGUCUCCUCCCACGGUGGUUGAGCCGUUUGUUUUCUGGGACUGAGAUUUAGCAUGGUUUUGGGUGUUUGCUAGGCGAGUGCAACACGAGGGGACGAGGCGCAGUACUGAACUCGGCUUCUGAUGUAAUGUUAGCAAGCUGGAUUGCAUUCCAUUUUACACUCUUCCCCUGGUCUAGAUAAGAUGCUUUAGGAAAUGAACACUUAGCUGGCAUGAGAGUCUAAUAAAAGGCGGAUGCUUCAUUUCUCUGGCUUAAUUAUUUGAUUGCCAAGGAGGCUGUCUUUCCCUACACCUUAUUCUCAGCUGAUAGCCUGGUGCCCUUGACUGUCCAAAACUGUUACAGGCCCACAGUCCGAGACAGGAUUCUCAUGAGAAAAAGUGCAGGAGGGACAGGAAAUGGGACCCCAGGAGUCUGUUCUCAUGACAUGAAUUCAGUGGAAACAAUGGGAUGGGUCCAUUCUUUUCCAGUUUUCAGUUGACUUUCUUCUUUGAUGAUCUUUCUUUCUUCUGACCCUUCCACCCACCCUGACCCUCUCCCAGGGAUGGGAAACAGGAUAUUUUCACAAAGCCUUUGUUCCUGGGAGGAGCUCACGCUCAGUCUCGGGUCAAACUGUCCCUUCCCAUUCCAACUACUCAGGUGCCCAUGGACUUCCUGUAGGAACAUCUCCAGGAGUCCAGGCUUCCCUGCCCAUAUUUUAUCUGAAUGGGAGUAAAAAGCACCCUUCUAAUUCAUAUAAAGUCUAAAUUGCUUUUUGAAGUGCCACAAAAUAAGAUAUUAAAUACCAA
Cebus imitator (Panamanian white-faced capuchin) is the source of this 2733-nucleotide long non-coding RNA. RefSeq lists it as uncharacterized. NCBI's taxonomy places the organism in Eukaryota, Metazoa, Chordata, Mammalia, Primates, Cebidae. The transcript has 3 exons. The record is from RefSeq and is a predicted model, not a curated record.